UACAGAGGUCUCAAGCGUUGUUCGGAUUCAUUGGGCGUAAAGGGUGCGUAGGCGGCGCGGUAAGUCGGGUGUGAAAUCUCGGAGCUUAACUCCGAAACUGCAUUCGAUACUGCCGUGCUUGAGGACUGGAGAGGAGACUGGAAUUUACGGUGUAGCGGUGAAAUGCGUAGAUAUCGUAAGGAACACCAGUGGCGAAAGCGGCUUCCUGGUCCGACACCGACGUUCAGGCACGAAAGCGUGGGGAGCAAACAGG
This 253-nucleotide ribosomal RNA is filed under the name uncultured bacterium. Its description in RNAcentral is "partial 16S ribosomal RNA". It matches the Rfam family "Bacterial small subunit ribosomal RNA", at positions 524 to 776 of the family's 1533-position model. The record is from RNAcentral.